CUCCCUCUCUUGAUGAAAAGAAUUACGGAUAUAAUGAGUCUCAUGAUUCGCACGUCCGAGAGCGCAAAACUAUGUGGAUUAUUCCGUUGCCUUCCUUCUGAUCUUUC
Molecule: small nucleolar RNA, 107 nt
Filed under: Hypsizygus marmoreus
Lineage: Eukaryota; Fungi; Basidiomycota; Agaricomycetes; Agaricales; Lyophyllaceae
Description: Small nucleolar RNA Z13/snr52
Rfam family: Small nucleolar RNA Z13/snr52
About the family: Z13 or snr52 is a member of the C/D class of snoRNA which contain the C (UGAUGA) and D (CUGA) box motifs. Most of the members of the box C/D family function in directing site-specific 2'-O-methylation of substrate RNAs.
Source: Rfam by way of RNAcentral